Long non-coding RNA from Ictalurus punctatus (channel catfish), 3052 nucleotides. RefSeq lists it as uncharacterized. The transcript has 3 exons. Lineage: Eukaryota; Metazoa; Chordata; Actinopteri; Siluriformes; Ictaluridae. The record is from RefSeq and is a predicted model, not a curated record.
UCCAAAAAAUUAUUAUUGGUAGUUUCAAUCCCGUUGAAUCUAACUCCUGGACGCCAUUGGUUUCGCAUCACGUCAGUCUCCUGCGCGCACUCGCUGUGCCCUGUGAACGCGCAUCGGCCGCGUGCACGCGCAGACAGCGUGCCCGACCGGAGUCUGUCUGGAGUCUGUCUGAAACAAACUGAGCACAAAUGUCGCUGAUGGGACUUUCGGGAGACUCGGCGGAACUUUAUAAAUACGCAGGACCCGACAGCACGCGCAGACUUCUGAAGUCUCUGAAUCCAAUUUUAACUGUAGCGCAUUGAAAACUUUUUAAAAUCUCUUUUAAUUCCGUGACGUUUCUUUCAUCAGACAGUUCAUUUUAAAGCACAGGCUGAUGGAGGUCAUCCUGGAAAUUUUCCCCUGGUGCUGUGGCACACUGACAAUUGAUCUGACGGUGUGAACGGUUGUGAACGUGCACGUGUCGCUCCGGUGUGAAAUCUCACCUGCCGCACUUUCAUGUUGCAUCACAACAACUUCAGCAUGAUCGCUGAUCAAAACACAGCUAACAGCAUCAGGUCUGUGUGUGUGUGUGUGUGUGUGUUUGCGUUGAAGCGGAGUGACUGUUUCCACCCUGAACUGUUUUAUUCCUCUCACACCACAGCAAUUUCCAUUCAUUAUUCAUUAAAGAACAACACAUCAUAUUUUUUAUCCAUUUCUAGUUACACGUCGUGGAAUAUCCAUGUUACUGAGAGACCGCCAAAAGGGCUGAACUUCUGAUUUUUUGUGUCGGAAAACCUACUGACGGUUACAAACGCUGACACUGGAGACUCCUUCCAUGAAUGUAGAAGAAAGUCGGAAAUAUUGACCUUUUUUUGUCGUGUGGAUUACCUGACAGAUUUAGACUCUUAAGACUGUUUUAGCACUACAGGUUACCGCUCCUACCAGACGAGCGCGAUCGUUACGAAGACGUAAAAAUUCCCAGACGUUUAGAGGAGAAGCCGCCAUUUUAGACUCUUUUUUUUUGUUGUUGUUGAAAACAGGAAGCGGCCAUUCUGUAAUCUUCUUUCUGCGGUUGAUGUCAGGGUGCAGAUGUCACCUCAGCACAUAAAAUAAAAACUAGGGAUGCACUGAUACCGAUACCAGUACUCGGGUGUUGGCCCGAUACUGUGCUCAUGUACUCGUACUUGUACUUGUAAAACUACCCCGAUACAACCGCACCAAUACCACUUUAUGACAACGUGACAUAGCCUAACCUCUCGUCAGUUGAGCGGGUAGUCAGAAGAGGAGCAAUGUCAGCAAUUUGGAGAUAUAUUAAGAUAAGUGAUGAUGAUAAAAGUAGAGCAGACUGCAAACUAUGCUCUGCUAAACUGUCAAGAGGAGGGGUAAAAAAUAGCUCAUUUAACACAAGCAAUUUGAUUAAACAUCUAAAGAACAAACAUAACGCCGAGUGCAAAGAGUUUUCUAAUGCUAGCAGAGGGAAACAGCAACAACCAACUUUGCAGCAAACGCUGGAGAAGCGAGAGAAAAUGUCCAGAGACAACCGACGGGCAGUAAAAAUAACAGAAGCUCUUACCCAGUUCAUUGCUCUUGAUCAGUUGUCAGUUGUAAAUAAUACAGGAUUUCGUCGUCUUCUUGGUGUACUUGAGCCAAAGUAUGAGAUUCCCAGCCAUCACCACAUUACAGAUACCACAUUACUAAAGCUGCAUGACUUGGUGAAAAAGCACAUCAGGAACCUGUUGCAGGACAUUUCGGCCUUCAGCUUCACCACCGAUAUUUGGACUAGCAGUGUCAGCCCAAUGUCUCUUAUAAGUUUAACAACACACUGAUUUGAUGAGGAUUUUACUCCCCAGAGAGUCGUUUUACAAGCAACGCAGUUUAGGGGGUUUCUCACUGGUCAAGCUGUAGCAUGUGCGUUUGAUGACGUGGGGCAUUCGGAAAAGUGUGAAGUACUCAUAUCAGUACUUGGUAUCGGCAAGUACCCAAAUGUAAGUACUUGUACUUGUACUUGGUCUGAAAAAAAGUGGUAUUGGUGCAUCCCUAAUAAAAAUGUCCUCAACAUGCAUUUAGAGAACCGGAGCUAACUGGUUUCGUGUUGGUGAGAGUUGACGCCACUUCUUGUUUCGAUUGUUUUACUAUUACAGUGCGACACGUUUGAGAUUUUAGGACUUUUGUAAAGGGUACUGCGUUCGUUCAGCGGGUCGACACCCUCUACCCAGCCGCACGUGUAAGGAAGCGCGUGUUGAUGGAAGACAUCGGAAGGUACCAUCAUGGGUCUGGGAUUCUUCGUCAGAUCACACACGUGUUUUGUAUUCAUAUCCCGAUUCGGACUGUCGGUGACGUUAUGUCGACGCAGCAACUUUAUAGCUCACGCUGAACAUAGUUCCACUAGUGAUCAAUUUAAAUGUUAUUUUCAUCGUACGUGAAAUAUCUAGCUAGUAGGAGCUGAGAUUAUGAUUGAUGCAUAGAUGUGUUUAAUCACUGUUUCUGUUGUUCUGAGCAAAAAGGAAGAGAACUGAAGACGUUCAUUAUUUUCCAUCUCUCUCUCUCUCGCUCUCUCUCUCUCAUGAGGUUUUCAUGAGGAUCGUGAGGGACAUUUCGGUGUGUUUGUCGUGUCUAUCCUGCGUGUCUGUUUAAACACACGUUCCAUAAUCAAGGACAGAGCUUUUGGCUUUUGGCUCAGGAAGGCCCCAGGUGGUGUGUGUGUGUGUGUGAGAAAUGUCAGCGGAAGCUCGUCUCAGCGGCCUGAAUGGAGACAAAGCCCAGUGGACACACAGCUCUGCCCUUUUCUCUUUGGCCCCGUUGCCCUCUAUACCCUUUGAUUAGCCGAGUAGGGAGCACUGACCCCCACCUCUCUCCCCGCCACUCAACCCCCUACUGCACCCCCACCACUUGCCCCCGCAGCACCCUCCAGAGUGCGCACUUGUCCACCGGUGACCCCUCCUUCCGGAAACGUCCGCAGUGGGAAAGUGGAAAUGUUGCACGAGGGCGUCCGGGACGCGGCAUCGUGCACCUUGACCCGUCUAGACGCUUUUUUUUAUCCAUUUCUGUUUGUUGCCAAGCAGGCCAAGUGAAC